Molecule: ribosomal RNA, 1039 nt
Filed under: uncultured bacterium
Lineage: Bacteria
Description: bacterial SSU rRNA
Rfam family: Bacterial small subunit ribosomal RNA
Source: RNAcentral
GCUGAGAGGCGACGCCCCCUGGACUGAGACCCGCCCAGACUCUACGGAGCAGCAGUGGGAUAUGCACAUGGGGAACUGAUGCAGCGACGCGCGUGAGGAUGACGGCUUCGGGUGUAACCUCUUUCAGUAGGGAAGAAGCCUUUCGAGGUGACGGUACCUGCAGAAGAAGUACCGGCUAACUACGUGCCAGCAGCCGCGGUAAUACGUAGGGUACAAGCGUUGUCCGGAAUUAUUGGGCGUAAAGAGCUCGUAGGCGGUCCGUCGCGUCUGCUGUGGAAACGCAAGGCUCAACCUUGCGCGUGCAGUGGGUACGGGCGGACUAGAGUGCAGUAGGGGAGUCUGGAAUUCCUGGUGUAGCGGUGAAAUGCGCAGAUAUCAGGAGGAACACCGGUGGCGAAGGCGGGACUCUGGGCUGUUACUGACGCUGAGGAGCGAAAGCAUGGGGAGCGAACAGGAUUAGAUACCCUGGUAGUCCAUGCCGUAAACGUUGGGCACUAGGUGUGGGGCUCAUUCCACGAGUUCCGCGCCGCAGCUAACGCAUUAAGUGCCCCGCCUGGGGAGUACGGCCGCAAGGCUAAAACUCAAAGGAAUUGACGGGGGCCCGCACAAGCGGCGGAGCAUGCGGAUUAAUUCGAUGCAACGCGAAGAACCUUACCAAGGCUUGACAUACACCGGAAUGUGCCAGAGAUGGUUCAGCCCUUUGGGCUGGUGUACAGGUGGUGCAUGGUUGUCGUCAGCUCGUGUCGUGAGAUGUUGGGUUAAGUCCCGCAACGAGCGCAACCCUCGUUCUAUGUUGCCAGCACGUGAUGGUGGGAACUCAUAGGAGACUGCCGGGGUCAACUCGGAGGAAGGUGGGGAUGACGUCAAAUCAUCAUGCCCUUUAUGUCUUGGGCUUCACGCGUGCUACAAUGGUCGGUACAAAGGGUUGCGAGACCGUGAGGUGGAGCGAAUCCCAGAAAGCCGAUCUCAGUUCGGAUCGUAGUCUGCAACUCGACUACGUGAAGUCGGAGUCGCUAGUAAUCGCAGAUCAGCACGUGCG